UUGUUUCUGUGUUAUACUCUUCGCUCGAACUAUAUUUUUUCCUUGUGCUGACAAGAACAAUGGAUGGAAGAGAAACAAAUUUGAAGCACGGGUGGUCUCUUCAAAUGGGAAUAAAUAGAGGGACCAUGAAGAGACGGCAGAGAAACUUUGCCUUCAUGAUGA
Thrips palmi is the source of this 162-nucleotide long non-coding RNA. RefSeq lists it as uncharacterized. Lineage: Eukaryota; Metazoa; Arthropoda; Insecta; Thysanoptera; Thripidae. The record is from RefSeq and is a predicted model, not a curated record. The transcript is spliced from 3 exons.